Molecule: ribosomal RNA, 247 nt
Filed under: uncultured bacterium
Lineage: Bacteria
Description: partial 16S ribosomal RNA
Rfam family: Bacterial small subunit ribosomal RNA
Source: RNAcentral
AAACAUAGGGGGCAAGCGUUGUCCGGAAUCACUGGGCGUAAAGGGCGCGUAGGCGGUCUGUUAAGUCGGAUGUGAAGUGUAAGGGCUCAACCCUUAACGUGCAUCUGAUACUGGCAGACUUGAGUGCGGAAGAGGCAAGUGGAAUUCCUAGUGUAGCGGUGAAAUGCGUAGAUAUUAGGAGGAACACCAGUGGCGAAGGCGACUUGCUGGGCCGUAACUGACGCUGAGGCGCGAAAGCGUGGGGAGC